RNAcentral lists this ribosomal RNA (444 nucleotides) under Tomopterna tandyi. RNAcentral describes it as "partial 16S ribosomal RNA". It matches the Rfam family "Bacterial large subunit ribosomal RNA", at positions 1846 to 2505 of the family's 2925-position model. Lineage: Eukaryota; Metazoa; Chordata; Amphibia; Anura; Pyxicephalidae. The record is from RNAcentral.
UAAGAGGUCCAGCCUGCCCGGUGACAAAGUUUAACGGCCGCGGUACCCUAACCGUGCGAAGGUAGCAUAAUCACUUGUUCCUUAAAUAGGGACUAGUAUCAACGGCAUCACGAGGGUUACACUGUCUCCUUUCCCCAAUCAGUGAAACUGAUCUCCCCGUGAAGAAGCGGGGAUAUAACUAUAAGACGAGAAGACCCCAUGGAGCUUUAAGCUCAACAACACCUCUAUAGAAAUAUACCCCCGUAACCCAAGAGCCCUGUUUGUUAGCUUUAGGUUGGGGUGACCGCGGGGUAUAAUAUAACCCCCACGACGAAUAGGCCUAAAACCUUUAUCCAAGAGCCACUGCUCUAAGAAUCAUGAAAUUGACGUAAAAUGAUCCGAUUUUCGAUCAACGAACCAAGUUACCCUGGGGAUAACAGCGCAAUCCAUUUCAAGAGCUCCUAU